CACACCGGUUAUUCUGGAAGCAUUUUGUCAAACAACGACUUUAAAUCAGGGCGCUCCCAAAGAGGCCUUCACCGACUCCACCUUCAAACGCCGUCGUUGCACUUGUACUGACUUCCGUGAAGCAACCCAAGAUCUUGCAAAUAAAGAACCAACUAUUACUCCACAUCUUUGUUUUCUUGGCUCAACGACGGACAUCUUGAAGAAAACGCAACAGGUUUCAAACUAAGCACAUCAUUCAAGCAGCAAGUGAGAGGUGUACUUCACCUGCUGACACCUUCUCUUUCAACGAGCCAAUGAAUAAAGCCUGACUCCCAGCAGCAGCUUGCUGACACCUCAGAACUUUGUAAUUGUGCUCUAAAAAGCUCGCUCAGAUUUAUCGGCUAGUCUCGGUGGAGUUGAAACUUCGGCAAAAAGUGCACGAUACUUUGUCAAGGCUCAGAGAUCCUGAUCGACGUGGACUUUUGCUGCAUUUUAACCUUUCACCAAGGCCUGUUUUCAUUUUUUUUAUAUUGUGGCCUUAAGACUCAAUUGUGUUUUAAGUUACCGAAUAUGUAACUAUUUAUCUCCGUGCCAGGAUGUGUCAGGCCAAAGGAAUCAAUAAGAGGAGGUGAAAUGCAGAAAUGCAAGCCAUCAAUCAUAAUUACUUUACAAGUCGUAGGCCGGGAGGUGUUCCUGCUCAAUGUAAUCAUCACUUGUUUGAUGGUUGGCCCCCGAGCUUUGAACAUAAAAAAA
Syngnathus acus (greater pipefish) is the source of this 732-nucleotide long non-coding RNA. RefSeq lists it as uncharacterized. NCBI's taxonomy places the organism in Eukaryota, Metazoa, Chordata, Actinopteri, Syngnathiformes, Syngnathidae. The record is from RefSeq and is a predicted model, not a curated record. The transcript is spliced from 3 exons.